GACGAACGCUGGCGGCGUGCUUAACACAUGCAAGUCGAACGGUAAGGCCCUUCGGGGUACACGAGUGGCGAACGGGUGAGUAACACGUGGGUUAUCUGCCCUGCGCUCCGGGAUAAGCCUGGGAAACUGGGUCUAAUACCGGAUAGGACCACCGCCUGCACGGGGGGUGGUGGAAAGUUUUUGCGGUGUGGGAUGGGUCCGCGGCCGAUCAGCUUGUUGGUGGGGUGAUGGCCUACCAAGGCGACGACGGGUAGCCGGCCGGAGAGGGUGCCCGGCCACACUGGGACUGAGAUACGGCCCAGACUCCUACGGGAGGCAGCAGUGGGGAAUAUUGCACAAUGGGCGCAAGCCUGAUGCAGCGACGCCGCGUGAGGGAUGACGGCCUUCGGGUUGUAAACCUCUUUCAGCACCGACGAAGCGCAAGUGACGGUAGGUGCAGAAGAAGGACCGGCCAACUACGUGCCAGCCGCCGCCGUAA
This 478-nucleotide ribosomal RNA is filed under the name uncultured bacterium. RNAcentral's name for it is "partial 16S ribosomal RNA". It matches the Rfam family "Bacterial small subunit ribosomal RNA", at positions 28 to 523 of the family's 1533-position model. The record is from RNAcentral.